UUGGUGCAAAAGUAACUGCGGUUUUUGCCAUGAAUUUCAAUGGCAAAAACGCAGUAACUUUUGCACCAA
This 69-nucleotide microRNA precursor is filed under the name Saimiri boliviensis boliviensis (Bolivian squirrel monkey). Its description in RNAcentral is "miRNA (ENSSBOG00000000657.1)". Lineage: Eukaryota; Metazoa; Chordata; Mammalia; Primates; Cebidae. The record is from RNAcentral.